UUAUUUAAGGUCUAACCUGCCCACUGAUAUUAAAAAAAUUAAAUGGCCGCAGUAUUUUAACUGUGCAAAGGUAGCAUAAUCAUUAGUCUUUUAAUUGAAGGCUUGUAUGAAUGGUUGGACGAGAUAUAAACUGUCUCAUAUAAAAUUAAUAUUAUAAUUUUAUUUUUUAGUUAAAAAGCUAAAAUUUUGUUGAAAGACGAGAAGACCCUAUAGAUCUUUAUAUAUAAGUUAUUUAUUAUUUUUUAGUUUGUUAAUAUUUAUUAAUUAAUAUUAUAUAUUUUGUUGGGGUGACAUUAAAAUUUAUAAAACUUUUAAUAUUAAUUUUUACAUUAAUUUAUGAAAAUUUUGAUCCACUAUUAGUGAUUAUAAAAUUAAGUUACCUUAGGGAUAACAGCGUAAUCUUUUUGGAGAGUUCUUAUCGAUAAAAAGGGUUGCGACCUCGAUGUUGGACUAAAAUUAAUACUAGAUGCAGCAGUUUAGUUAUUUAAGUCUGUUCGCCUU
RNAcentral lists this ribosomal RNA (501 nucleotides) under Propebrevitrichia canuta. RNAcentral describes it as "partial 16S ribosomal RNA". It matches the Rfam family "Bacterial large subunit ribosomal RNA", at positions 1843 to 2587 of the family's 2925-position model. The record is from RNAcentral. Lineage: Eukaryota; Metazoa; Arthropoda; Insecta; Diptera; Scenopinidae.